RNAcentral lists this ribosomal RNA (430 nucleotides) under Bacillota bacterium. Its description in RNAcentral is "Firmicutes bacterium partial 16S ribosomal RNA". It matches the Rfam family "Bacterial small subunit ribosomal RNA", at positions 355 to 776 of the family's 1533-position model. Lineage: Bacteria; Bacillati; Bacillota. The record is from RNAcentral.
UGGGGAAUAUUGGACAAUGGGCGGAAGCCUGAUCCAGCCAUGCCGCGUGUGUGAAGAAGGCCUUUUGGUUGUAAAGCACUUUAAGCGAGGAGGAGGCUACUUGGAUUAAUACUCUAGGAUAGUGGACGUUCCUCGCAGAAUAAGCACCGGCUAACUCUGUGCCAGCAGCCGCGGUAAUACAGAGGGUGCGAGCGUUAAUCGGAUUUACUGGGCGUAAAGCGUGCGUAGGCGGCUUCUUAAGUCGGAUGUGAAAUCCCUGAGCUUAACUUAGGAAUUGCAUUCGAUACUGGGAAGCUAGAGUAUGGGAGAGGAUGGUAGAAUUCCAGGUGUAGCGGUGAAAUGCGUAGAGAUCUGGAGGAAUACCUAUGGCGAAGGCAGCCAUCUGGCCUAAUACUGACGCUGAGGUACGAAAGCAUGGGGUGCAAACAGG